AGCUCUCAAAGUUGGGGUUCAACCUUUUUUUUUUUUUUUUUUUUUUUGUUAAUGUUAACUCUCUCCAAAAUAAGAAAUCAAAUGCCAGCUCAUUUAAAGUGCAAUUCCAAACACGCCUUAGCCCAUUGAAUUGAAACCUUUAGCUCUCUCUUCUCCAAACCAUCCUCAAAUUGUGUCCAUGAAUGAACCCUAACCCCAAAUCGAUUUUCCUCCACCAUCGAAGGGGAACAUCAUUUGUUAAAAGUGAAUGAGCUUUAUUGAGCCAAACAUGACGAAACUUUUCAAUUCAUGCUUCCCCUGGCGUCGGGCUGCAAUUUGAAACUGAUUGUAUAAAUAAUGGACCAGCAGCUUCCAUGCCUAUGGAUAAGGGUAGUGACGGUGGACAUUCGUUUACUGCAGAAAUGAUGACUAAGCAAACUGAUCUUCAAAACAUAGAGGAUGAAUUCACAACAACAAAUGAUGAUGAUAGUUCGAGUUCUAGAGCAACGAGGGCAGAUGCUAGGAGACUUGCACAUACAUCAACAAAUCAAACAGUUCUGUAAAUUUCUUAAAAGCGGCAUGAAAUUAGAGUGUAGUUCUGGUAUAUAAAUUUUUUAUAGUUGCUUUUGGUUUUGGAGGGUGUUACUGUUUACAGCAUCUAUUUUUGGAUUUUAUUUUUGAUGGUGUGUCUUGGAAAGAAAUGUGAUGCAUAUAUUUACGAUGGAGUGUUUUUUUUUUUUUUUUAAUAGAGGUUUAUGAUGCCUGUACAAGUAUGGAUAAGUGCAACUCAAGUUUCUAAACAGGAAGCCCAUUUUCUGAAGUUUAGACUGGAUGAAUCUAUACCUUUUCGGUUCCAGCAAGACACUUAAGAAGCCAAGGCAGUGGAAUAUGUUGGGGAUGUGAUCUAACUGUAAUGUAAAAAGCAUGGCUGCUGCUGUUAAUGUACAAUAUUAUGGCCUUUUCUUGUACUAUGUAUUAAAACAUGGAUUUUUGCUAUAUUAAUUAGGUUUUUUUGGGCUAUAUUAACUGGUUUUUCAAAUAAUUUUUGGCUUGUACUACUAGGAGUUCCAACCAGAAUAGUGGCCGUUAGAAUAGGAAUCAUGGAAAUAUUUCCUUUAGCUUACAUCCUAGUCUAGCUAGGAAUUAAAAUUCAUUUUUUCUUUCAGUAAUAGGUUUUAUAUCUUCCCUUUUUUCUUAUCCUUCUAAUGAUAGGAUUCUACGCCUAUAUAUAGGAGCGAAUCGUGUAUGUAAUAAAUCAUUCUGCCUAAAUUCUAAGCCAUUCUUUUCUUCUUUUCUUUUCUUGAUCAUGUUCUUUCCCCCUCUCUGCUUCAAUAAUAUCCUAAAAAGACUACCACUACUAAUGGAAGUGACUCACAAAAGCAUGCCCAUCAGAUGGAAAAAUAUCCGUCUUUCCAUAUGUCAACAUUUUCUCUUGCGUGUUCUUUGUUUUCCUGGAAUUUGUUGUGCUAGUGAUGGUAGAUGUCACUUCUGAUGCUUUGCAGGCAGGUGGGAUAGUGUUUGCAAUUUAGUGCUGCUGCUGAUGGUUGCGUAAAUAAUGCUCUCAGUGAUUUUCACUGAAAAAUAAUGGCAGUACUAUAAAUUAACAGCAGAUUAUUUAUAGGGAAAAGCUGGGAACGAGCUAGUUUUUUUUAUUUUCUUUCGGAUGACAGUAUUUGUUUCAUAUUAGGAGCCAUGACUUGUUGUAGUGGCCGUGAUGAGAAGUAGUGUUGGCACAAAUGGCUGCACGUUGUGGACAUGAUUUUUGUUUCUAUCAUGUUUUACCUUUUAUUCUUCAUUUCCUUUCCUUCUGAAUUCAUGCUUUAUUUUUUUCUUUGUGAUGGGAUAUGGCUAAUUAUAUUUGGUCACAGAAACUAGCAUCAGAAUGGUCUUUGCUUAUUUUAUAGAUUUCAAGAGUAACAACUUAAUAUAGUCACAGAUAUCUAUAGAAGAAGUGCCUUUACUGGUUUUAGACUUCAGAUGGGUGUUUUAGAGUGCUUGCGCUCCUGAGGUGGGUGGGUGGUUGGUUAGUUUGGAAUACAAUAUAUUAUUAUUUGAGUUGCAUUUGCAUGUGUUACCAGUUUACUGAAUUUAUGUCCUGGUUUCUAAACUCUUCUUGUUCUAUUGAGUUACAUUUCAAAAUCUCAUCUUUGUUGGUAGAUUUUGUGCUUAAAAUGAGUGUGUAACAAUGUUUUUGCAGCCUAGCUGAUAAUACUUUUCCCUGAAAAUUAAAAACACUACUGUUCGCAAAUAGUUGGGGUUUCUUUUUAGCCAAUCAUAGCCAGCUUGAUUUGGUUUUGUGUUGUUUUCAUGAACUUAAUGAGUAUGCACUUGUAGCAAGUCAACUCUGGUUCUUGGCAUUGCAACCUAAGGUCAUCUGCCGCAGUUACAUUUAGAUAUAUGCAUGCUUCAGAUCCUUGUUCUUCUGUUCGUGGUGCAACAUUAACCCAACGAGAGUCCAGAGAUGAAAUAGGGAUGUGAAAGUAUUAUAUGCUAAUCUGGAGAUUGUCCUCACAUUCUCUUCGAAAGCUUCGAAAACUGUGGCACAUAUCUCAUACAUUAUUGACCAGGUCACAUACCAUGCUGAAACAAGAGAGCGCGCCACCAAGAGCCGUGGAGCUAAUUUUGUUGGGAAAUUUGUGUUCCAAUUGCAGCCACGCUCUCAAUGUAUAAUAGCUCUUUAUGUUAAUUUUGUUUCUUUUUCUUCUUGAUUAUAAUUGGUACAAAUGCCUAAAAUUUGGUAUCUAUCUUUAUCUUCUUUAUUCAUAAGUCAAGACCGAUACUAAAGGCACAACUCGUGUCGAAGAUUGUUGAAAAGAAAAUUAAGGAGGCCGAUGGGGGUGGUGGUUACUCACUAUUUAGUUCCUUUUUUUUUUUUUUUUUUUUUUUUUUGGAAAAUAUAUUAGAUUUUUAGGUGUUUUAGAAUUUUGAAUCUGGAUUUUGUACGAAUAUUGUUAUAUUUUGGAGUUCAAUUAAUAAUGAUUAUUGGAGUUAUUUGAUAUGGUUA
Molecule: long non-coding RNA, 2983 nt
Filed under: Olea europaea subsp. europaea
Lineage: Eukaryota; Viridiplantae; Streptophyta; Magnoliopsida; Lamiales; Oleaceae
Source: RNAcentral